GGAAGUAAAAGUCGUAAUAAGGUUUCCGUAGGUGAACCUGCGGAAGGAUCAUUAUUGUAUAACCGAGGUGCGUGGGCUGUCGCUGUCCCGAAAGGUCGUGCACGCCCGAGUGCCCUCACACACAUCCAUCUCACCCCUAUGUGCACCACCGCGUGGGUCCCCCUUUGGCUUGUUCGGAGGGGGGCUUACGUUUUCACACAAACUUUGUAUGCAGUGUAGAAUGUAUUUUUUGUUUUUGCGAUCACGCAAUCAAUACAACUUUCAACAACGGAUCUCUUGGCUCUC
This 285-nucleotide unclassified non-coding RNA is filed under the name plant metagenome. Its description in RNAcentral is "partial contains small subunit ribosomal RNA, internal transcribed spacer 1, and 5.8S ribosomal RNA". The stretch from base 1 to 54 matches the Rfam family "Eukaryotic small subunit ribosomal RNA", at positions 1778 to 1831 of the family's 1831-position model. The record is from RNAcentral.